CAGCCGCAACAGCCCGCUGGCUCGCACGGGGUGCUCUUCACCGAGUGUCCCGCGUGGCCGGCAGAGUUUACUUUGAAAAAAUUAGAGUGCUCAAAGCAGGCUACACUGACAGCCUGAAUGCCUAUGCAUGGAAUAAUGGAAUAGGACCUCGGUUCUAUUUUGUUGGUUUUCUGAACCCGAGGUAAUGACUAAUAGGAACAGGCGGGGGCAUUCGUAUUGCGACGCUAGAGGUGAAAUUCUUGGACCGUCGCAAGACGAACUACUGCGAAAGCAUUUGCCAAGGAUGUUUUCAUUAAUCAAGAACGAAAGUUAGAGGUUCGAAGGCGAUCAGAUACCGCCCUAGUUCUAACCAUAAACGAUGCUGACCAGCGAUCCGCCGGCGUUAUUCCCAUGACCCGGCGGGCAGCUUCCGGGAAACCAAAGUCUUUGGGUUCCGGGGGAAGUAUGGUUGCAAAGCUGAAACUUAAAGGAAUUGACGGAAGGGCACCACCAGGAGUGGAGCCUGCGGCUUAAUUUGACUCAACACGGGGAACCUCACCAGGCCCAGACACCGGAAGGAUUGACAGAUUGAGAGCUCUUUCUCGAUUCGGUGGGUGGUGGUGCAUGGCCGUUCUUAGUUGGUGGAGCGAUUUGUCUGGUUAAUUCCGAUAAC
This 652-nucleotide ribosomal RNA is filed under the name Potamonautes platynotus. Its description in RNAcentral is "SSU rRNA". It matches the Rfam family "Eukaryotic small subunit ribosomal RNA", at positions 685 to 1332 of the family's 1831-position model. Lineage: Eukaryota; Metazoa; Arthropoda; Malacostraca; Decapoda; Potamonautidae. The record is from RNAcentral.